This 381-nucleotide ribosomal RNA is filed under the name uncultured marine Chaetocerotaceae. Its description in RNAcentral is "SSU rRNA". It matches the Rfam family "Eukaryotic small subunit ribosomal RNA", at positions 587 to 972 of the family's 1831-position model. Lineage: Eukaryota; Bacillariophyta; Thalassiosirophyceae; Chaetocerotales; Chaetocerotaceae. The record is from RNAcentral.
AGCUCCAAUAGCGUAUAUUAAAGUUGCUGCAGUUAAAAAGCUCGUAGUUGCAUUUCCGAGGCAAGGGAUUAGUCCGACCUUUGGUGGGUAUUUAAUCCUCUUGCCUCGUCCUUGAGUGGUGCUUCUUGGUAUUAAGUUAUCGAGGAGAUAGCCGCUCAUCGUUUACUGUGAGAAAAUUAGAGUGUUCAAAGCAGGCUUAUGCCGUUGAAUAUAUUAGCAUGGAAUAAUAAGAUAGGCCCUCGGUACUAUUUUGUGGGUUUGAGAACCAAGGUAAUGAUGAAUAGGGACAGUUGGGGGUAUUCGUAUUCAGUUGUCAGAGGUGAAAUUCUUAGAUUUACGGAAGACGAACUACUGCGAAAGCAUUUACCAAGGAUGUUUUCA